This 396-nucleotide ribosomal RNA is filed under the name Escherichia coli. Its description in RNAcentral is "bacterial SSU rRNA". It matches the Rfam family "Bacterial small subunit ribosomal RNA", at positions 1 to 393 of the family's 1533-position model. Lineage: Bacteria; Pseudomonadati; Pseudomonadota; Gammaproteobacteria; Enterobacterales; Enterobacteriaceae. The record is from RNAcentral.
AAAUUGAAGAGUUUGAUCAUGGCUCAGAUUGAACGCUGGCGGCAGGCCUAACACAUGCAAGUCGAACGGUAACAGGAAGAAGCUUGCUUCUUUGCUGACGAGUGGCGGACGGGUGAGUAAUGUCUGGGAAACUGCCUGAUGGAGGGGGAUAACUACUGGAAACGGUAGCUAAUACCGCAUAACGUCGCAAGACCAAAGAGGGGGACCUUCGGGCCUCUUGCCAUCGGAUGUGCCCAGAUGGGAUUAGCUAGUAGGUGGGGUAACGGCUCACCUAGGCGACGAUCCCUAGCUGGUCUGAGAGGAUGACCAGCCACACUGGAACUGAGACACGGUCCAGACUCCUACGGGAGGCAGCAGUGGGGAAUAUUGCACAAUGGGCGCAAGCCUGAUGCAGCC